RNAcentral lists this ribosomal RNA (532 nucleotides) under uncultured eukaryote. Its description in RNAcentral is "partial 18S rRNA". The record is from RNAcentral.
AAUAGGUCCUCGUUAAAGGAUUUAAAGUGUACUCAUUCCAAUCACGGGGCCUCGGAAGAGUCCCGUAUCGUUAUUUUUCGUCACUACCUCCCCGUGCCGGGAGUGGGUAAUUUGCGCGCCUGCUGCCUUCCUUGGAUGUGGUAGCCGUUUCUCAGGCUCCCUCUCCGGAAUCGAACCCUGAUUCCCCGUUACCCGUUGCAACCAUGGUAGGCGCAUAACCUACCAUCGACAGUUGAUAAGGCAGACAUUUGAAAGAUGCGUCGCCGGUUCGAGACCGUGCGAUCAGCUCAAAGUUAUUCAGAGUCACCAAAUGGACGGGCCGAAACCCGAUUGGUUUUGAUCUAAUAAAAGCACCCCUCCCGUGAGGUCGGGGCUUGUUUGCAUGUAUUAGCUCUAGAAUUACCACAGUUAUCCAAGUAGGAUGGUACGAUCUAAGGAACCAUAACUGAUUUAAUGAGCCAUUCGCGGUUUCGCCGCAUAGCGGCUUGUACUUAGACAUGCAUGGCUUAAUCUUUGAGACAAGCAUAUGCUA